GCUGAGGUCGCAUAAUCUGGUAGUGCGCCGGUCUUGAAGCCAUUCUUGUGAACGGCUCGCCGUUCAGAUGGCCUGAAAACCGGUCCCUCCGGGAUUGCAGGUUCAAAUCCUGCCCUCAGCG
RNAcentral lists this transfer RNA (121 nucleotides) under Microcaldota archaeon. RNAcentral describes it as "tRNA-Ser". It matches the Rfam family "tRNA". From Rfam's summary of the family: Transfer RNA (tRNA) molecules are approximately 80 nucleotides in length. Their secondary structure includes four short double-helical elements and three loops (D, anti-codon, and T loops). Further hydrogen bonds mediate the characteristic L-shaped molecular structure. tRNAs have two regions of fundamental functional importance: the anti-codon, which is responsible for specific mRNA codon recognition, and the 3' end, to which the tRNAs corresponding amino acid is attached (by aminoacyl-tRNA synthetases). tRNAs cope with the degeneracy of the genetic code in two manners: having more than one tRNA (with a specific anti-codon) for a particular amino acid; and 'wobble' base-pairing, i.e. permitting non-standard base-pairing at the 3rd anti-codon position. Lineage: Archaea; Nanobdellati; Microcaldota. The record is from RNAcentral.